Molecule: ribosomal RNA, 493 nt
Filed under: uncultured Thalassospira sp.
Lineage: Bacteria; Pseudomonadati; Pseudomonadota; Alphaproteobacteria; Rhodospirillales; Thalassospiraceae
Description: bacterial SSU rRNA
Rfam family: Bacterial small subunit ribosomal RNA
Source: RNAcentral
UGGGGAAUAUUGGACAAUGGGCGCAAGCCUGAUCCAGCCAUGCCGCGUGAGUGAAGAAGGCCUUCGGGUUGUAAAGCUCUUUCAGAUGCGAAGAUGAUGACGGUACCAUCAGAAGAAGCCCCGGCUAAUUUCGUGCCAGCAGCCGCGGUAAUACGAAAGGGGCAAGCGUUGUUCGGAUUUACUGGGCGUAAAGGGCACGCAGGCGGUCUUGCCAGUCAGGGGUGAAAGCCCGGGGCUCAACCCCGGAACUGCCUCUGAUACUGCAAGACUAGAGACUAGGAGAGGGUGGUGGAAUUCCCAGUGUAGAGGUGAAAUUCGUAGAUAUUGGGAGGAACACCAGAGGCGAAGGCGGCCACCUGGACUAGAUCUGACGCUCAGGUGCGAAAGCGUGGGGAGCAAACAGGAUUAGAUACCCUGGUAGUCCACGCCGUAAACGAUGAGUGCUAGUUGUCGGGAAUUCGGUUUCGGUGACGCAGCUAACGGCAAUAANCAA